AUGACCAAAUCGAAGGAAGGUGAAGACGACAUUGACAAAGUUCUUGGAAUUCCCAUCAUGAAAUUUUCAUAUGUUGACUUGCAAGUUGCAACAGAGGAUUUCAAGGAAGAACUUGGAAGUGGAGGCUUCGGUUCUGUGAUCAAUGGAGUUAUGGCAGAUAGCACAAUGAUUGCAGUGAAGCGGUUGGAUAACAGGGGCCAGGGGAUGAGGGCGUUCCUAGUUGAAAUUGAUACAAUUGGGAGACUUCACCAUUUUAACCUCGUAAGGUUGAUCAGAUUUUGUGCAUAA
Molecule: long non-coding RNA, 288 nt
Filed under: Prunus dulcis (almond)
Lineage: Eukaryota; Viridiplantae; Streptophyta; Magnoliopsida; Rosales; Rosaceae
Description: sRNA ncRNA
Source: RNAcentral